This 244-nucleotide ribosomal RNA is filed under the name uncultured bacterium. RNAcentral describes it as "partial 16S ribosomal RNA". It matches the Rfam family "Bacterial small subunit ribosomal RNA", at positions 15 to 248 of the family's 1533-position model. The record is from RNAcentral.
AAUCCUGGCUCAGGAUGAACGCUAGCUACAGGCUUAACACAUGCAAGUCGAGGGGCAGCAUGAAAGGAACUUCGGUUCUUUUUGAUGGCGACCGGCGCACGGGUGCGUAACGCGUAUCGAACCUGCCUCAUACUCGGGGAUAGCCUUGCGAAAGUAAGAUUAAUACCCGGCGGUCUCGGACGGCCGCAUGACAGUCCGAGUGAAGAUUUAUCGGUAUGAGAUGGCGAUGCGUCCCAUUAGCUUG